Non-coding RNA from Triticum urartu, 87 nucleotides. The record is from Rfam. Lineage: Eukaryota; Viridiplantae; Streptophyta; Magnoliopsida; Poales; Poaceae.
CUCAAUGGUGAGCCUGGUGGGGGCUUCUCAUGAAGCGCCGAUUUGCCAAAUGUUCGGUACGCCAACCCUGCCUGGCUUGCCACCCUG